RNAcentral lists this long non-coding RNA (294 nucleotides) under Neogobius melanostomus (round goby). RNAcentral's name for it is "lncRNA (ENSNMLG00000020024.1)". Lineage: Eukaryota; Metazoa; Chordata; Actinopteri; Gobiiformes; Gobiidae. The record is from RNAcentral.
UGCCAGUGAGGAAAGAAUAAUAUUAAUCGAAGAUCAAACGCAAGACAGUCAUCUCAUCAAGCUGGCAGGUUACAAUGGAAAUUAUGGACACUCAGUGCGCCCUGGAGGCCGUGGAGAGGCUCCAAGCCAAACUGAAGGAGCAAGGGGAGGCACCCAUGCAGGAGAAGCUGUUCUUGCUCAGGACAGUCCUACAGAGCUCUCUGUUCCACCACAUACUCAGCCUACAGAAGACUCAGAGGAAGCAUCCAUUAAAGGGUAAGGGCAUUUCCAAGUCAGUGUCUAUGAACUGUGGAG